This 512-nucleotide ribosomal RNA is filed under the name uncultured bacterium. RNAcentral's name for it is "partial 16S ribosomal RNA". It matches the Rfam family "Bacterial small subunit ribosomal RNA", at positions 29 to 507 of the family's 1533-position model. The record is from RNAcentral.
ACGAACGCUGGCGGCGUGCUUAGCACAUGCAAGUCGAACGAGAGCGUAGAGAAAGCUUGCUUUUUCUACAAUCUAGUGGCAAACGGGUGAGUAACGCGUAAACAACCUGCCCUACGGAUGGGGACAACAGCUGGAAACGGCUGCUAAUACCGAAUACGUUCCGAAAGUCGCAUGACUAUCGGAAGAAAGGAUGGCCUCUAUUUAUAAGCUAUCGCCGGAGGAGGGGUUUGCGUCUGAUUAGCUAGUUGGAGGGGUAACGGCCCACCAAGGCGACGUUCAGUAGCCGGUCUGAGAGGAUGAACGGCCACAUUGGAACUGAGACACGGUCCAGACUCCUACGGGAGGCAGCAGUGGGGAAUCUUCCGCAAUGGGCGAAAGCCUGACGGAGCAACGCCGCGUGAGUGAAGACGGCCUUCGGGUUGUAAAGCUCUGUUAUACGGGACGAAUAAUCUUGUGGUUAAUACCCAUGAGAAGUGACGGUACCGUAAGAGAAAGCCACGGCUAACUACGUG